Long non-coding RNA from Aquila chrysaetos chrysaetos, 375 nucleotides. RefSeq lists it as uncharacterized. Lineage: Eukaryota; Metazoa; Chordata; Aves; Accipitriformes; Accipitridae. The record is from RefSeq and is a predicted model, not a curated record. The transcript is spliced from 4 exons.
AGAAUGUUGGCAGUGGCCAUGGAACAGAGGAGUCAUUGACGUGGCAGCUCAGGACGGGUAUAAAGAGGGCUGCGCCAGGCCAGUCUGGGAGGUGAGGAGGCAGAUCUCAUAAGACAUUAAGGAUGCUGAAGCCUCUUAAGAUGGCAUCUUUAACCAAAAAUAAAGCAAAGGAAGUGAACAACUAUGAACCUUACUAAACUUGUGUAAAGCAGCAGCUUGCCAAAAAAUCAUUUUGAAUUUUCUAGAAGAGGAACACCGAGCCUUUUCUUAGCAAUAAGACAUUAACUUUAUGACUACAUAUUGUAUACAUAAGCAGUGUAACAGAGCAGUUUCUGCUCCAGUGCUCCACAGAUGUAUGUUUGAACCUGUCUAGGU